This 482-nucleotide ribosomal RNA is filed under the name uncultured bacterium. RNAcentral describes it as "partial 16S ribosomal RNA". It matches the Rfam family "Bacterial small subunit ribosomal RNA", at positions 28 to 507 of the family's 1533-position model. The record is from RNAcentral.
GUUGAACGCUGGCGGCAUGCCUUACACAUGCAAGUCGAACGAUCACGGGCCUUCGUUUGCCGUCGAGUGGCGACCGCGUGAGUAUUACAUCCGCACGUGUCCCCUCGUUGGGGAUAACGGAUCAAUUCCUUUACUCGUACCUCAUACCAUCUACUAUUUUAAGCAGCGUGCUUCAAUACCUUGCGCCGGUUUUGCUGUCGAUGGUGGAUUAGUUAGUUGGUGGGAUAAAAGCUUACCAAGGCGACGAUCUGUAGCUGAUCUGAGAGGAUGAUCAGCCACACUGGAACUGAGACACGGCCCAGACUCCUACGGGAGGCAGCAGUAGGGAAUUUUCGGCAAUGGGCGAAAGCCUGAUCCAGCAAUGCCGCGUGAAGGAUGAAGGCCUUCGGGUCGUAAAAUGCUGUUGUAAGGAAAGAAAAGACGUCUUAGAAUACAGGAGGGUCAUGACGGUACCGUAAGAAUAAGCACCGGCUAACUACGUG